Molecule: ribosomal RNA, 253 nt
Filed under: uncultured bacterium
Lineage: Bacteria
Description: partial 16S ribosomal RNA
Rfam family: Bacterial small subunit ribosomal RNA
Source: RNAcentral
UACGAAGGGGGCUAGCGUUGCUCGGAAUUACUGGGCGUAAAGCGCACGUAGGCGGAUCUUUAAGUCAGGGGUGAAAUCCUGGAGCUCAACUCCAGAACUGCCUUCGAUACUGAGAGUCUCGAGUCCGGGAGAGGUGAGUGGAACUGCGAGUGUAGAGGUGAAAUUCGUAGAUAUUCGCAAGAACACCAGUGGCGAAGGCGGCUCACUGGCCCGGUACUGACGCUGAGGUGCGAAAGCGUGGGGAGCAAACAGG